Molecule: small RNA, 31 nt
Filed under: Cryptomonas paramaecium
Lineage: Eukaryota; Cryptophyceae; Cryptomonadales; Cryptomonadaceae
Description: Cryptomonas paramecium partial transfer-messenger RNA
Source: RNAcentral
AAGCCUGAGGACCCGGGUUCGAUUCCCGGCA